CAGUCGCCGCGGUAAAACGGAGGGUGCAAGCGUUAAUCGGAAUUACUGGGCGUAAAGCGUGCGUAGGCGGUUCGUUAAGUCUGUUGUGAAAGCCCCGGGCUCAACCUGGGAAUGGCAAUGGAUACUGGCGAGCUAGAGUGUGUCAGAGGAUGGUGGAAUUCCCGGUGUAGCGGUGAAAUGCGUAGAGAUCGGGAGGAACAUCAGUGGCGAAGGCGGCUAUCUGGGACGACACUGACGCUGAGGCACGAAAGCGUGGGGAGCAAACAGGAUUAGAUACCCCAGUAGUCCCUGUCUCUUAUAC
Molecule: ribosomal RNA, 301 nt
Filed under: uncultured bacterium
Lineage: Bacteria
Description: partial 16S ribosomal RNA
Rfam family: Bacterial small subunit ribosomal RNA
Source: RNAcentral